UUUCUUUGCAUCUCCAGAUGUAGAGAUGUUCUUCGUUUUCGCACUUGGUCAGCAAAUCGAUAAAUAAGUUAAGUUUUUAUGAUAUUAGGGUUUUUGUGAUUAGUAUUAUCAAUAUCUUAAAAGUUUCUAGUUUGCUUAGAAUACAAUAAUAUAUAUUGAGGUAUAUUAUAUAUAUAUAGAGAGUGUAGUGUGAUGUUUUGCUUCUUCUUAAAUUUGCUUUUAUUCUCCUUCUUUGUUUUUAUUUUGGGAUAAUUUUUGAGUUAGGUGGGUUUGAAUUUGUUUGUGGUAGGGUAUGAUUAAUCAAAUACCCUAUCUCUCUUUUUAUUUUAGUUAAUUAUAUUUUGUCAUUGACUGGUGCUUCCUAACAUUUCAGGCUUGUUAGCUUUGUGCAAUUUUGUUGUUUGUAAUUUUGGUUUGAGUUAAAUUACAAGUUGGAUUAUUGUUUAUACACACUUUAAUUGGUUCUUUUUGUUUUAAGUACG
RNAcentral lists this long non-coding RNA (482 nucleotides) under Capsella grandiflora. RNAcentral describes it as "long non-coding RNA (CGRA_LNC000886)". The record is from RNAcentral. Lineage: Eukaryota; Viridiplantae; Streptophyta; Magnoliopsida; Brassicales; Brassicaceae.